GGCCCAUUAGCUCAGUUGGUUAGAGCGUCGUGCUAAUAACGCGAAGGCCAUGGGUUCUAUCCCCCCAUGGGACA
This 74-nucleotide transfer RNA is filed under the name Cordylochernes scorpioides. RNAcentral describes it as "tRNA-Ile". It matches the Rfam family "tRNA". Rfam says of the family: Transfer RNA (tRNA) molecules are approximately 80 nucleotides in length. Lineage: Eukaryota; Metazoa; Arthropoda; Arachnida; Pseudoscorpiones; Chernetidae. The record is from RNAcentral.